UUAGGAAUCUUCGGCAAUGGGCGAAAGCCUGACCGAGCGAUACCGCUUGAAGGACGAAGCCCCUCGGGGUGUAAACUUCUGAACUCGGGACGAUGGUGACGGUACCGAGGUAAUAGCACCGGCUAACUCCGUGCCAGCAGCCGCGGUAAUACGGAGGGUGCGAGCGUUACCCGGAUUUACUGGGCGUAAAGGGCGUGUAGGCGGUCCCUCAAGUCCGAUGCUAAAGACCGGGGCUCAACCCCGGGGGUGCGUUGGAUACUGUCGGGCUAGACGGUCGGAGGGGGCAGCGGAAUUUCCGGAGUAGCGGUGAAAUGCGCAGAUACCGGAAGGAACGCCGAUAGCGAAGGCAGCUGCCUGGACGACUUGUGACGCUGAGGCGCGAAAGCGUGGGGAGCAAACCGG
Molecule: ribosomal RNA, 402 nt
Filed under: uncultured bacterium
Lineage: Bacteria
Description: bacterial SSU rRNA
Rfam family: Bacterial small subunit ribosomal RNA
Source: RNAcentral